ACGGGUGAGUAACACGUGAGUAACCUGCCCUUGACUCUGGGAUAAGCGCUGGAAACGGCGUCUAAUACCGGAUACGACCUGCCCCGGCAUCGGGUGCGGGUGGAAAGUUUUUCGGUCAAGGAUGGACUCGCGGCCUAUCAGGUAGUUGGUGAGGUAAUGGCUCACCAAGCCGACGACGGGUAGCCGGCCUGAGAGGGUGACCGGCCACACUGGGACUGAGACACGGCCCAGACUCCUACGGGAGGCAGCAGUGGGGAAUAUUGCACAAUGGGCGAAAGCCUGAUGCAGCAACGCCGCGUGGGGGAUGACGGCCUUCGGGUUGUAAACCUCUUUUAGUAGGGAAGAAGGGCUUCGGCUUGACGGUACCUGCAGAAAAAGCACCGGCUAACUACGUGCCAGCAGCCGCGGUAAUACGUAGGGUGCAAGCGUUGUCCGGAAUUAUUGGGCGUAAAGAGCUCGUAGGCGGUUUGUCGCGUCUGCUGUGAAAACCCGAGGCUCAACCUCGGGCCUGCAGUGGGUACGGGCAGACUAGAGUGCGGUAGGGGAGAAUGGAAUUCCUGGUGUAGCGGUGGAAUGCGCAGA
RNAcentral lists this ribosomal RNA (582 nucleotides) under Rathayibacter sp. LDB-B116. Its description in RNAcentral is "bacterial SSU rRNA". It matches the Rfam family "Bacterial small subunit ribosomal RNA", at positions 102 to 694 of the family's 1533-position model. The record is from RNAcentral. Lineage: Bacteria; Bacillati; Actinomycetota; Actinomycetes; Micrococcales; Microbacteriaceae.